GUGUCAGCAGCCGCGGUAAUACGUAGGGGGCGAGCGUUGUCCGAAGUUACUGGGCGUAAAGCGCGCGUAGGCGGGGGGUUAAGUGAGAGGUGAAAGGCUGGGGCUCAACCUCAUGCAGUGCCUCUCAUACUGGCCUUCUUGAGGGCGGUAGGGAGAAGUGGAAUGGCUGGUGUAGCGGUGAAAUGCGUAGAUAUCAGUCGGAACACCGGUGGCGAAGGCGGCUUCUUGGGCCGUUCCUGACGCUGAUGCGCGAAAGCUGGGGGAGCGAACGGGAUUAGAUACCCCCGUAGUCC
This 293-nucleotide ribosomal RNA is filed under the name uncultured bacterium. RNAcentral's name for it is "partial 16S ribosomal RNA". It matches the Rfam family "Bacterial small subunit ribosomal RNA", at positions 505 to 796 of the family's 1533-position model. The record is from RNAcentral.